This 400-nucleotide ribosomal RNA is filed under the name phytoplankton environmental sample. RNAcentral's name for it is "partial small subunit ribosomal RNA". It matches the Rfam family "Eukaryotic small subunit ribosomal RNA", at positions 587 to 983 of the family's 1831-position model. The record is from RNAcentral.
AGCUCCAAUAGCGUAUAUUAAAGUUGUUGCAGUUAAAAAGCUCGUAGUUGGAUCUCAGGCGCCGGCGGACGGUCCCUUUAACGAGGGCUACUGUCCGCUCCGGCCCUACCCGCCGGUGUGUCGAGGGUGCUCUUGACUGAGUGCCCCCGGCGGCCGGAACGUUUACUUUGAAAAAAUUAGAGUGUUCAAGGCAGGCGCUUCGCCUGAAUAAUGGUGCAUGGAAUAAUGGAACAGGACUACGGUCACUGCACUUUUUCCGUUGGUUUCGGAGGACCGAAGUAAUGAUUAAGAGGGACAGUUGGGGGCAUCCGUAUUUCGUAGUCAGAGGUGAAAUUCUUGGAUCUGCGAAAGACGAACGAGUGCGAAAGCAUUUGCCAAGAGUGUUUUCAUUAAUCAAGAA